AUGUAACCUGUAAAGUAGAUAUAGGGUUAAUUUAUGAUGAUAUCAACCUUGUUUCCCAGAGAAAGACACAAUCUUCAACGCCAUUGAUUAUAACCUUAUUUAAAGGGCAAUUAGAUAUGAUUGAGCAGGUAGACACACCAACACCGAGUGGUGAGAGAGAGUUUCUGAGAUAGCCUACUAAGAGCACAAUCCUGGUAGGUUGUGAAGGGUUAUUUACAUCUAUUGUACCUCUACAUCCACCCAUUUUUGCAAUGGUUUUGGUGUCAAAUGAUUUUCUCCAGUAUUUAGUUAAUAAGCAGACACAGUUAGUUGAGAAGCAGAUGCAUACUGAUACCUAGUUGGCCAAGUUGCUAUCCCAGAUAAAGCUAAGGGUUCGAACUUUAAUUGAGAUAUCUGAGACACAUGUAAAGGUUUGAGUGAUGAUAGUAAUGAAAAAGGUUUUGAGAGAGUUGAAUGAGUAGAUUGAUAGUUUUAAGAGUUAGAUAGGCGACCUACUGCAUGAGUCCUAUAUUUUAAAUUUGUCUAGAGGGGUGGGCUACAUUAAGGUAAGUGGUCAGAUCAUUAAUGACUAACCAUACUUCUAUUAUACCACACAUUCUCCAGUCGAUUUCUAUAGCACCAGUACUGGUGUUUGAUCUUUUUAUAGAUGACGAUCCCCCUACUAACAGAGGUAGGAGGGCACGAAGAACUAAGGUCCAUAGUACGAUUCCUAAAGAUUUUAAGAAAGACCUAAGGAGGUCAAAUAAGGUAUCCUAAAUUGAGUAUCAUGUCGAUAUGAUUGCUCAUGAAUAAUAGGACUUAGGAGCCUUAUCCAGUCAGUAUCUACCACCAUCUAGCUUUGAACUUGAGGUGCCUCCUAACAUCCCAACUACGGGCGAGUCCAUAUCCGACGCAUAGAUCACCGUAGGAGAAUAGGAUUUAGAGGCAAAAUGGAGAAAAAAGGAUCAAAAUUGACUAAGGGAAGAGCUGUGGAAAGCAUCCAUGGAUUAUGGAAUCAUCUAAAAACUGUCAAACAUGUUUGUGAAUGAAGUUCUUAAGAGGAAGGCAAAAUUUUGAAUUCCAUGGGUGGGGUCUAUCAAUUGUAGACUUAGUCCACAACCAGUGGAAUCAAAUCGUAAACAAGAUACUGCAAAAAAAUAAGUUUUUGAUUUCCACGGAUGGAUACUAUGACUCAUGAACUAGGUCUAUAGUUGGAAGACUAGAUCAGUGGAAAAGAGUUUGAUUUCCACGGCUCCAAUCCAUGAUUGGUAGACUGAUCUACGACUAUAGUCUAUGAUUAGUAGAAACAUGCCAACCUGUUUCUCCUACAUAGGUUAGUAUAGAAUUCCUUUUGUAUCUAUAAGUUUUAAUAUUAGGUUUUAUGAUUAUUUUACAUUAUAUUACAUUAUUGUAAGGUUCUAAGUCACAUUCUUGAUCUUGAAAUCAUAAAUAUCGAUUUUUAGGGUUUUAAUUUAAAGAGAGAUUUUGGAGUUUUUC
Capsicum annuum is the source of this 1476-nucleotide long non-coding RNA. RefSeq lists it as uncharacterized. The transcript is spliced from 2 exons. Lineage: Eukaryota; Viridiplantae; Streptophyta; Magnoliopsida; Solanales; Solanaceae. The record is from RefSeq and is a predicted model, not a curated record.